This is a long non-coding RNA of Etheostoma spectabile (orangethroat darter), 777 nucleotides long. RefSeq lists it as uncharacterized. The transcript is spliced from 3 exons. The record is from RefSeq and is a predicted model, not a curated record. Lineage: Eukaryota; Metazoa; Chordata; Actinopteri; Perciformes; Percidae.
GAGAAGAAUGUGUGUAUGUGUGAGAAAGUAUAGUGGAAACAGAAGGAGUAUGGUGGAAACGGAUGGCAGAACAUUUAUCGCGCUGUGAUUGGCUGUCAACCUCACGCUGUGAUUGGCUGAGAAACUCCAGCAGGGUCAUCUUCAGGUCGCGAUCCCCAUGGACGGAGAAGAGACGAAUGCUUUGCAGCCAGCCAUUGGAGUUUUAAGGACUAUUUUAACAUCCUCUGAUGCUAUUUCUGCCAUGGAGUGGCAAAGGACGUGCUCAUCUGCACCGAACGUUGUUCACAGCACGGCAGGAAGUGAAAUGAGAAAACUUUUCCGACCAGGUGACAACUCACAAGACCCUGCUAUAGGCAAUGCACCUCAAGCUAACCAAGGCCAAACCGGAGGAUCACGGCAGUCCUUAAGAUUUCAAACUCAGCAACACUUUGGAAAUUGGGGCUCUUGUCCGAGGAAACGGGCCAAAAUUCAACAUCACAACAAGGAUGUUAUCCUUCUUUCGAAGCCAUCAAGCAAUGUCGUUGUCAAGCAGCACACUAAACAGUUACAUGAACACUGACAUAUAUUGAAUGGGUUUGAAUUCCAGAAGUCUUGGGACCAGAAGACUGUCACUGAACAAAUAAGGGAAGCCUUUAGAGAAAAACUGUCGGCUGAAGUGAGCCUUGAGUUUCUAAUGGCAUGUGGCAACAGGUUGAUUUCCCCCAAACUGCGUGCUGGACAGGAACUGGAUGCAAAUCUCAUCCACAAAGUAUAUAAAUCGAAAGCAAUAUACCUCAG